Musa acuminata AAA Group (dessert banana) is the source of this 5737-nucleotide RNA transcript. It is a transcript of the gene named protein NLP2-like, with no coding region annotated. NCBI's taxonomy places the organism in Eukaryota, Viridiplantae, Streptophyta, Magnoliopsida, Zingiberales, Musaceae. The record is from RefSeq and is a predicted model, not a curated record. The transcript is spliced from 8 exons.
AUCGUUUCCACUGCGUCGUCGCCUUCUCUGCCCACUCUAAAGGGAAUGAAAUAAAUCCUCGGAGCCGAAAGUUAAGGAUUUCCUGUAAAGGAGAAACCUUGCGGCCAACUGAGGCGAUAUCUUGGGGGAAUCUUCUUCCUCUCUGAGCUAGGGUUUCGACGUGAGGGGGCAGUUCCCUUCUAUCGCCCCUUCUCUUUUGUUGAUUUGACAAAGAGGGAUCAUUUUGCUUAUUUCCCCUCUUCAAGCUGUAGAGAUGGAUUAGCUGAGGCGGCCAGUAAAUCGAUUUUUCGGCGAUUUGAGGGGGUAGAGAUCGUUUUAGCUAAAAAAAGGUCGUUUUUUAGCUGGAAAAAAAUGGUUCGGAGACCUGAACUGAGGGGUCCCGGUGGAGUUUGGAUCGUUCGCGCCGAGAGAGCUGUGGAUGCAGCAUUACAGCACCUCGGAUUUGCCUUUUCUGGGAUCUGAAAGGAAAUUGGUUCAGUUUGGAUCUCCGAGCAAGCUCACAUGGAUGAUUUCACGCCCACGAAUUAUGGGGCGAGCGGGAGUCCGAGUCAAGACGAUCCAUUUUCCCUGGCGGAGCUCAUGAAUUUUGAUGGUUUUGCUGAAUCCUGCAGUCCUACGAUGGUAGACCAGAUUUCUAAUUUAAGCUUUAUAGCUGCUUAUCAAAUACCUGGUUUUUCAUCUUCAUUGGCACCACUGAGUGUUUCAGCAGAAGGUACGGAUUCCGUUCCUGGAGAUAAUAGGGUCUCAACUGGUAAUUAUUAUAACUGCAUGGAAAAGACGGCUUUGCAAAGAGCUGGUUCACAAAUGGGGCUUCCGUCGACUUCCUCCGGAACUAAUAUUACUAGUAGGAGUGCUAGUUAUUCCGCCUUUGAUGGCCUGUCUGAUGAUGCGAUCUUGACUAUUCCUAGACCUUUUGAAGGGGUGUCUCUUCCAGAAAGAAUGCUCAAGGCACUGUCCUUGCUAAAGGAAUCGUCAUGUAGUGGAAUACUUUGCCAGGUUUGGAGGCCCAUUAAACAGGGUGACCAGUAUAUUUUAAGUACCUCUGAACAGCCAUUUCUCCUUGACGAAAUUCUUGCUGGGUACCGUGAAGUUUCAAGGCAGUUUACCUUUUCUGCUAAGGAAGCACCUGGUUUGUUUACUGGGCUCCCCGGGCGUGUAUAUAUCUCCGGAAUGCCAGAGUGGACCUCGAAUGUUAUCUAUUACAGAAAGUUCGAGUAUUUGAGAGUGGACUAUGCAAUCAGUCAUGAAGUCCGUGGAUCUCUUGCGGUGCCUGUUUUUGAUCCUUAUGAAGGUUCUUGUCUUGCUGUGCUUGAGCUUGUUACAACAAGGGAGAGACCCAACUUCGACGCAGAGAUGGAAACUGUUUGCAAUGCUUUGCAGGCUGUAAACUUGAAGACCACAAAAGUGCAGGUUCAUCAUCAGAACCUCACGAAGAGUCAGAUUUCUGCAUUUUCGGAGAUACUUGAUGUUUUGAGAACUGUUUGUCAUGCACACAUGUUACCUCUGGCACUUACAUGGGUACCUGUUUGGUAUGAUGAUGGAGGUGUCAAUGACUUGAGCAAUGAUAACAUUGGGGGGAUGAAGCCAACUUCAAGAAGGCUUGCCCUUCGCAUUCAAGAAUCAGCUUGCUAUGUUAAUGAUAUGCGGAUGCAAGAUUUUCUUCAUGCAUGCGCUGAACAUCGCCUUGAGAAGGGACAAGGCAUUGCUGGAAAGGCACUUCAAUCCAAUCAUCCAUUCUUCUCCCCUGAUGUUAAAGUAUAUGAUAUACGUGAAUAUCCACUUGCACACCAUGCUCGUAAGUUCGACCUUCGUGCUGCAGUUGCAAUCAGGUUGAGGAGCACAUACACUGGAAAUGAUGAUUACAUACUAGAAUUCUUUCUACCAGUCAACUGUGGAGGCAACAUAGAGCAACAGCUAUUAUUAAAUAGCCUCUCAAAUACCAUGCAGAGAAUUUGUAGGAGCUUGAGAACUGUAUCAGAUGCUGCAGCAGCUGGGGCAGAGAUCACCAGAGUAGGUAAUCAUAAAGGAGCAGCUGUAGGUGCCUUGUCGACUAAUUUUUCAAUGACGUGCUCUCAACUAUCAGAUUACGACAAUGAAACGGCUACCGAGAUGCAUCUUGGAACUCAGGAGAUUGGAUCCAAUGAACAAAAUGGAGAUGCUCAUCUUGAGCAGUUAUCAUCUAGCUCAAUAAAACAAAUGGAGAAAAAACGCAGUACAGCUGAGAAAAAUAUUAAUUUUAGUGUUCUUCAACGAUACUUUUCUGGGAGUCUCAAGGAUGCUGCAAAAAGUAUUGGUGUUUGUCCGACAACAUUGAAAAGGAUAUGUAGACAGCAUGGAAUUUCAAGAUGGCCAUCUCGCAAGAUAAAUAAGGUCAAUCGUUCAUUGCAGAAAAUCCAAAAUGUUAUAAAUUCUGUCCAAGGAGUUGAAGGGGCUCUAAAGUAUGAUCCUUCUACUGGGUGCCUUGUUGCAGCAGUCUCCUCACCGGAAAAACCAUCAUUAAUAACCUUUGAGCCAAAAGGUCAAGAUCUUAUGACUGCCCCUUCUGCUCACCAUAUUGAGACAGAACAGCCUGUUGGUAAGAUGGAGCCAGAUUUCUAUUUCCUUGGCAGACACCAAAGAGGGACCACACACCGAUCCAAAUGUGAAACAGAUGAAGUUGGUUUGCUUUCAAAUGAUUGUAGCAGACAGUUGAACUUUAUUUGUGCAGAUGGAGGGCAGUUGUCAUAUGCUACAAUGCAAGGUGCACCAAAAUGGCCAUCAUAUUCUAAAGAUGUAUCUGACAGUUCAUAUAUUUCAAAAGAAGCAGGCUGCCAAGGUGGCCAAGAUGGCUUAAGUUUGGCAAGCCUUGAGUGUCAGGUUACAUCAAGAAGCUCAAGUUUAGAAGAAUUGGAUAAAAUGAUGAUGAAAGCAGAAGCUGCUGAUGGAAUCAUGGAACACAGCCAUCGUUCUUCUUCUGGUAUGACGGACUCUUCUAGUGGAAGUGCAUCAAGUCAUCCUAGUUUCAAGAGAAGUAAGAUGCUAAUCUCACAAAAUGGCCCAUCUGUUACAGUAAAGGCUACCUACAAAGAUGACACUGUUAGAUUCAAGUUCAUGCCAUCCAUGGGUAUCCACAACUUGUUUGAGGAAAUUGGAAAGAGAUUCAAAUUGCUGGUAGGAACAUUCCAGCUCAAGUAUAGGGAUGACGAAGAAGAGUGGGUAAUGUUGGAGAAUGACUCUGAUCUGCAGGAGUGUGUUGAUGUAUUAGAGAAUAUUGGAUUGCAGAAAAUGAAGCUUCAAGUACGAGAUAUCCCUUGUAAUGUUGGUAGCUCGGCCAGUAGUAACUGCCUUAAGCCUUGAAGCCUUGAGAGGAGUCUUGUUUCAAGGUGCUUCAACUGACUACUAUGGUUGAGGAAUUUGCAAAGAAUUUUCUCUCUGCAGGUUUUUUAUUAGACUUCUUUUUGGAGCUCAGGCAAUUUGAUCAGGAUUCAGGAACAGUAGGAACUCCCAAUGCUGGCAAAUUAUCAGAAGAGUCAAAUUCGAUAUCUGAGCCAGAAGUCUAGGGUGGAUGCAGUUCUUGAUGAUUCCCAGGUUUGGUGUGGCACCAUAAGGAUCUUAUGCUUCCAUUGAGUCUAUCCAGGUGAAGCCGGAUCAGUAGCACUGAUUUGAAAUCAGGUGGUCAAAAACUAAGAGGUUUAGUAAACAAUAGAUCGCGGGAGAUGCACAACAGAAGAUGAUCUUGGCAUUGUGGAAACUGUUGAAUCUCGUAUUUUGAUGAUGAAACCACUUAAUAUGUGUUUAUGUUUUAAUCUGCGUUUUGAGUGACGCAGGAUGCUUCGAUCAGGAUGAGACAAUUAAAGCAGGAAAAAUCAUGUUGUGCCGGAGGAACAUGUUAGAAGAUUGGACGUCGGGCCGAUGGAUCGGUCGACGUAUCGACAGAAGGCUUCGGGCCGUGGACUUGGGCAUCGGGCCAAGAAGAGCGGGUAUUGCGCUAAGGAUAUCGGAGUUGCGGAGUCAACUGGCCGAUUGGGCAAUAGGCCGCAGGAGAGGACGAUGCGCCGAAGAAUCGGACGAAGCGUCGAGGGACCAAUGACAUGCCGGACAACUUAGUUAAUUGCUUAGGAUUAAUUGUCUCGAUCGAAGUUUUGUUUUAAGUGUGCAGGAUUAACUAUGAUGAAAGAAAGACAUGUAGCAGGAGUUGCGUCGGAGUCAAGACUAUGAUCACGUUGGGAGUUCGAGAGCUCGACGGAAGUCCGGACGGUCGUCAGAGGUUCUGCGGGAACAAAUCCGAGAAGUCCAGGAGCUUGCCAAAAGAAGCUCGUCGGAACUCGCCAAGUGGAUCGUCGCAAGUCCAGGAGUUUGUCGGAAGUCCGUCGGAGCAUCGCCGGAGGUUUGUCGGAUGUUCGUCGGAAGUUCGCCGAAAGAAGCGAUUGACGCACCGGAAGCAAGCUGUAGUAGAUGUCUUAAGAAAUUCGUAGUUAGCACGAUGAUUAAGUUAGAAAUGGGAGGUGAUCCCAUUAACUUAAUCUUGGGGCAAUUGGGCCCUUGAAAGACCCAAAUUGGGCCAAGACCCAAAUUGGGCCGAAUGGAUCAGCCCAUUCGGACCCAGAUUACUUGGCCAGAGGUGGCACCGCCUGGGUCGGCGGUGGCACCGCCUGGGUCGGCGGUGGCACCGCCCAGGGCUCAGUCUCCGAGCUCUGGCAGGAGGUGCAACCGCCCCUGACAAGUGGUGGCACCGCCCAGAGGCUCAGUCUCUGAGCUCUGCCAGGCGGUGCAACCGCCAAACCCCGGAAUUCCGGGAGAUGACAGUUUUGAGCUCGGAAUUCAAACUGGUUUAGGGCCUAUAAAUACCCCACUCUUUCAGCAAUGAAAGAGCAACCAAAUCCACCGAAAUCCUGAUCUUACUCUAUGAUUUUUAGAGCUCAAAAGUGUUGUAUGAGUUAAAAGUUCUUCUCCCUCUUUUCUUCUAAGUUCUGAUCUUUCAAGAGAGGAGAGAAAAUUCUGUAAGGGUUGUCUCCUAAGCUCGUCAAAAGGAGUGAAACUGUAAAAGGGUGGUUGGCCUUCGCCUAUUGAAGGAAGGCCUCUAGUGGACGUCGGUGACCUCGUCGGUGGAGGAAGCCAGAAGUGGAUGUAGGUCAAGAUUGAUCGAACCACUCUAAAAUCGCGGUGCUCUUUGGUUUGCAUUUACUUUGAGCAUAUUAUCUUUACUGCAAACCUCCUCAAUAGCUUACUGCCUUCUGCGAAUUUACGAUCGUGUUUCAAAGUUCAGUAUUUUCCGAAUCGGUGUUUAGACGUAAAUCAGUUUUAUCGUACGAACAUCAUAUUUCAGUUUGCGCUUACAUUCUGAUUUCCAUCAUAACUGCAAACUGCCCUUAUAGAUUCGCUUUAACUGCAUCUUGCUUGAUCACAAGUUAAAGUGAUUUACGAAUCGGGUUUUCUACCGAAAUCGCUCUUAUCGUACGAACGCAGUUUUAAUCGUCGAAAGUUUUCCGCUGCACUAAUUCAGGGGUAAGACUACAUGCAUACGACCCUUCAUAACAAUCAAUCUUCUUCUUUUGUUAAGAACCGAGAAUGAGAUUAAUCUCUUGAACUGUUUCAUGAACUAAUGGAAAAGAAGAACAAGCGCCGAGACCAUGUCACAAUAUAAUUAAUUCGACACAUGUGACUAUUAUCUCAAUGCAACCAAUACAAGAGUGAAUACGUUGCAGCAUUAACAUAUUUUUGUAUCGUUCUUGGACAUAUUAUUCAUGCAUUUUAAUGU